This 467-nucleotide ribosomal RNA is filed under the name uncultured bacterium. RNAcentral's name for it is "bacterial SSU rRNA". It matches the Rfam family "Bacterial small subunit ribosomal RNA", at positions 329 to 793 of the family's 1533-position model. The record is from RNAcentral.
GCCCAGACUCCUACGGGAGGCAGCAGUGAGGAAUAUUGGUCAAUGGGCUUACGCCUGAACCAGCCAAGUCGCGUGAGGGAAGACUGCCCUAUGGGUUGUAAACCUCUUUUGUCAGGGGGCAAUUGGCGCUACGUGUAGCGUUAUCGAGAGUACCUGAAGAAAAAGCAUCGGCUAACUCCGUGCCAGCAGCCGCGGUAAUACGGAGGAUGCGAGCGUUAUCCGGAUUUAUUGGGUUUAAAGGGUGCGUAGGCGGACGCUUAAGUCAGCGGUAAAAUUGCGGGGCUAAACCUCGUCGAGCCGUUGAAACUGGGUGCCUUGAGUGGGCGAGAAGUACGCGGAAUGCGUGGUGUAGCGGUGAAAUGCAUAGAUAUCACGCAGAACUCCGAUUGCGAAGGCAGCGUACCGGCGCCCAACUGACGCUGAAGCACGAAGGCGUGGGUAUCGAACAGGAUUAGAUACCCUCGUAC